UGGCGGCAUGCCUAACACAUGCAAGUCGAACGAACCCUUCGGGGUUAGUGGCGCACGGCUGCGUAACGCGUGGGAACCUGCCUUUAGGUUCGGAAUAACAGUUAGAAAUGACUGCUAAUACCGGAUGAUGUCUUCGGACCAAAGAUUUAUCGCCUUUAGAUGGGCCCGCGUUAGAUUAGAUAGUUGGUGGGGUAAUGGCCUACCAAGUCGACGAUCUAUAGCUGGUCUGAGAGGAUGAUCAGCCACACUGGGACUGAGACACGGCCCAGACUCCUACGGGAGGCAGCAGUGGGGAAUAUUGGACAAUGGGCGAAAGCCUGAUCCAGCAAUGCCGCGUGAGUGAUGAAGGCCUUAGGGUUGUAAAGCUCUUUUACCAGGGAUGAUAAUGACAGUACCUGGAGAAUAAGCUCCGGCUAACUCCGUGCCAGCAGCCGCGGUAAUACGGAGGGAGCUAGCGUUGUUCGGAAUUACUGGGCGUAAAGCGCGCGUAGGCGGC
RNAcentral lists this ribosomal RNA (496 nucleotides) under marine sediment bacterium ISA-1221. Its description in RNAcentral is "bacterial SSU rRNA". It matches the Rfam family "Bacterial small subunit ribosomal RNA", at positions 37 to 579 of the family's 1533-position model. The record is from RNAcentral.